RNAcentral lists this long non-coding RNA (2117 nucleotides) under Sus scrofa (pig). Its description in RNAcentral is "lncRNA (ENSSSCG00040014502.1)". The record is from RNAcentral. Lineage: Eukaryota; Metazoa; Chordata; Mammalia; Artiodactyla; Suidae.
GUCCGCACCUCAAUUCAGGAUCCUUGCUGGGUUUCCUGGUGUAGUAUGAGCGACACCUGGUGGUUGAAAGCAUAAACUGCACGUCAUGUUCUCGGGGAUGCGGGGGACACCGCUUACCGGAACCCCAGCCUUCUGUGGGCAACGGUGGGACCAGGCCUUGAGCGUAGCAGCACCUUCCCGAGGACUUCACACAGAGGCAGCGGGGUACCGCUAUGGGAACCACAACCACGUCAGGUGGCGUUCAUUCAUCCACUCCCGCCGACACAUACUGAGUGCGCAUGCUCCCCGGCAUGCUGGGCAUUUGGGAUAGAGAUGAAGAAAACAGUCACGUGCCCGGCUUCACGGAGCUUACACCAUAAUGGGGGGGCAGAGAAGCAUGUAAGUAAUGAGAGAGUUUCACAUUGUGUUAAGUACUAUGAGAAUUUGCAACAUUGAUGAUUAGUCCAGGAGUUCCCACUGUGGCUCAGUGGGUUAAGAACCCAACUAGUAUCCAUGAAGAUGUGCAUUCAAUCCUUGGCCUCACUCAGUGGGUUAAGGAUCUGGCAUUGCGGUGAGCUGUGGUGCAGGUCGCAGAUGCCGCUCGGAUCCCACGUUGCUGUGGCUGUGGCUGUGGCGUAGGCCGGCAGCUGUAGCUCCGAUUUGACCCCUAGCCUGGGAACUUCCAUUUGCCACAGGUGCAGCCCUAAAAAGACCCCACCCCCCGCAAAAAAAAAAGGACUGGCCUGCAGCCUCUUGGGUCCCUGUGGAGGUGCAGGUUUGAUCCCAGCCAGGGCAGUGGAUUAAAGGAUCCAGCAUUGCUGCAGCUGUGCGUAGGUCCCAAAGGUCACAGCUGUGACUCAGAUUCAGGCCUUGGCCCAGGAGCUUCCAUAUGCCAUGGGGGCACCCAUAAAAAAAUUAAAAAAAGAAAGAAAGAAAAGACUAGUGUCCAGAGUCUUUCUCAGGGCUUUAGUGGCCAUCUCAGCCUCAUCUCCCAAUAUCCACGUUGGCAGGGGCCAAGCCCCAAUCUCACAAAGCCCCCUGCAAGUCUCGAUCUGGGGGGCUGCCAGGUCGCAGUGCCUUUUGCAUAUGCUGUUCCAUCUAGGUCCGGUGCCCUUCCUCCUCACCCCCCCUGACAAAUCCCACUUGUCUUUUACAGCUAACCUCAAGGGCCACAUCUUCCAUGAAGUCUACCCUGAUGCUCCAUGGGGAGAAUCAGCCCUCUUGCCUCCUAGCCUAUUCGUCAUUCACCUUGUAUGGAAUCUUCUAGAAGAUGACAUGAGUCGGGACGUGCUUAGCUCAGCGCCCGGCACCAGGUAACUAUCAUGGACAUAGGAGGUAUUCUCCUUUUCUCUCUGGCUGCCUUUAAAAUCUUCUCUUUGUGUUUGAUGUCUUUGAAUUUCAUGCUGCUGUGUCUUGGCUGGAUGGCCUUCUAUUUAUCAAGCUAAGCAUGUCGUGUCAUGUGUCCAUUUAAAGUUCUCAGCCAUUAUCAUGUCACACGUUGCCUCUUCCUCAUUCUGUCUGUCCCCUUCUGGGACUCCGGUUUCUUGCGUGGUUGAUAUUCUUCCUCCGUCUUGCGUGGUUGAUAUUCUUCCUCUGUCUUUGCUGUCUCUCUCUUAUCUUCUAUAUCUUUGUCUGGGUUGAAUUCAAAGUCAAUUUUUUUCACAUCUAUAAUCCAGUUUAUUCACUUCAUCUCUGUCUUAAGCUGCCAUUUAAUAUAUCAAGCACCUACUUCAGUUGUUACAUUUUUUUUAGAUAUAUUAUUUAGCUCUUUUUCACAUCUGCCCAGAUCAUCUUACAUCUUAUUUAUACUUUCAAUACCCUCUUUUGCAUCUUUAGAGAUAUGAAAUAUAUUUAUUCUAUAAUCUCUGUGUGAUAAUUCCAAUAUUUCAGAUCUUUUCUGGAGUUCCUGUCAUGGCUGAGUGGAAAUGAACCCAACUAGGAUCCAUGAGGAUUCAGGUUCAAUCCGUGGCCUCGCUAAGUGGAUUAAGGCUCUGGUGUUGCUGUGAGCUCUGGUGUAGGUCACAGAUGUGGCUCAGGUCCUGCGUUGCUGUGGCUGUGGUGUAGGCUGGAGCUGCAGCUCUGAUUCGAUCCCUAGCCUGGGCUUCCAUCUGCCGAGGGUGCGGCUCUAAAAAACAAAC